GACGAACGCUGGCGGCGUGCUUAACACAUGCAAGUCGAACGGAAAGGCCCUGCUUUUGUGGGGUGCUCGAGUGGCGAACGGGUGGGUAACACGUGAGUAACCUGCCCUUGACUUUGGGAUAACUUCAGGAAACUGGGGCUAAUACCGGAUAGGAGCUCCUGCUGCAUGGUGGGGGUUGGAAAGUUUCGGCGGUUGGGGAUGGACUCGCGGCUUAUCAGCUUGUUGGGGGGGUAGUGGCUUACCAAGGCUUUGACGGGUAGCCGGCCUGAGAGGGUGACCGGCAACAUUGGGACUGAUAUGCGGCCCAGACUCCUACGGGAGGCAGCAGUGGGGAAUAUUGCACAAUGGGCGGAAGCCUGAUGCAGCAACGCCGCGUGCGGGAUGACGGCCUUCGGGUUGUAAACCGCUUUCGCCUGUGACGAAGCGUGAGUGACGGUAAUGGGUAAAGAAGCACCGGCUAACUACGUG
This 468-nucleotide ribosomal RNA is filed under the name uncultured bacterium. RNAcentral describes it as "partial 16S ribosomal RNA". It matches the Rfam family "Bacterial small subunit ribosomal RNA", at positions 28 to 507 of the family's 1533-position model. The record is from RNAcentral.